GAUGAAGAACGCAGCGAAAUGCGAUACUUGGUGUGAAUUGCAGAAUCCCGUGAACCAUCGAGUCUUUGAACGCAAGUUGCGCCCGAAGCCAUUAGGCCGAGGGCACGCCUGCCUGGGCGUCACACGUCGUUGCCCCCCCAUCUACUCCUUCGGGAUUGCGGGGGGCGUAUGAUGGCCUCCCGUGCGCCUCGUCGCGCGGUUGGCAUAAAUACCAAGUCCUCGGCGACGCACGCCACGACAAUCGGUGGUUGCGAAACCUCGGUUGCCCGUCGUGUGCGGUCGUCGCGCAUCGAGGGCUCGAAAAAAUUGCCGGGCUCCGGCUCGGCUUUCAACGCGACCCCAGGUCAGGCGGGGUUACCCGCUGAAUUUAAGCAUAUCAAUAAGCGGAGGA
RNAcentral lists this unclassified non-coding RNA (391 nucleotides) under soil metagenome. RNAcentral's name for it is "partial contains 5.8S ribosomal RNA, internal transcribed spacer 2, and large subunit ribosomal RNA". The stretch from base 1 to 122 matches the Rfam family "5.8S ribosomal RNA", at positions 35 to 154 of the family's 154-position model. The record is from RNAcentral.